CUGCCCAGUGACUAAUGUUAAACGGCCGCGGUAUCCUGACCGUGCAAAGGUAGCAUAAUCAUUUGUUCCUUAAUUGAGGACUUGAAUGAACGGCCACACGAGGGUUUAACUGUCUCUUACUUACAAUCAGUGAAAUUGACCUCUUCGUGAAGAGGCGAAGAUAUCUAAAUAAGACGAGAAGACCCUAUGGAGCUUAAAUUUUAUACCCAAGUCUUAUAUAUCACCCAACUAAGGGCCAUAACACCACCGAUGCCUGGGUAGACAAUUUUGGUUGGGGUGACCUCGGAGUAUAAAUAAACCUCCGAAUAUCUAGUACCUAGACUCAACAAGUCAAAGUAACCUUACACAACCUGUAUCUUAUAAUUUAUUGACCCAAAAAAUUUGAUCAACGGAACAAGUUACCCUAGGGAUAACAGCGCAAUCCUGUUCUAGAGUCCCUAUCGACAACAGGGUUUACGACCUCGAUGUUGGAUCAGGACAUCCCAAUGGUGUAACCGCUAUUAAUGGUUCGUUUGUUCAACGAUUA
This 526-nucleotide ribosomal RNA is filed under the name Xanthonycticebus pygmaeus (pygmy slow loris). RNAcentral describes it as "Nycticebus pygmaeus (pygmy slow loris) partial 16S ribosomal RNA". It matches the Rfam family "Bacterial large subunit ribosomal RNA", at positions 1859 to 2590 of the family's 2925-position model. Lineage: Eukaryota; Metazoa; Chordata; Mammalia; Primates; Lorisidae. The record is from RNAcentral.